UUUCUCUUUGGGAUUAGAGAGGACAGAUGGCUGCACUGAAAGUCCCUCACCUAGAGUAGGAUUUUAUUAGCAGAAUAAACCAGGUUCUUCUCUCUGCACAGGACUUCCCUUACCCAUCAUACUCUGAACUGGUCCCAGAGAUCAGCCUAAAGGCAAUACACUUACUCUACUGUGAGUGUCUCUGCAGCUUGUUCAGUAAAGCUGUGGCUCAAUACCACCAUCUUGUGGAGGAAAAUGUACCUGCGGGGGCCUUUUUAAUUACCCAGCUUCCAAGUGUCACAGACAAUAUGAAGAAGGAGGUGAGCUCACAGCUGAGGCUGAAGGGAGAGGAAAUCCACUAGAUGCUUCUCCAAGGUCAUGUUGCAGUGGCAGCAGGAAGCCCAGGCAUCCCUCUGCUCCACCUGAGGGAUUCUGAGGCGUUCCCAGGCCAGAUAGGAUAUAUAACCCCUGCAUUGAGCUCUGGGUCUACCACAAGGUCUCCCCCAGUUGGAUGUUCCCAGAGAACCUCUGAAAGAGCUCUCCAGGUGGCAUCCUACCUAAUCAGAUGCCUGAACUACCACAACUGGCUACUUUCAAUGCAAAGGACUAGCAGCUCCACUCUAAACUGCCUCCAAAUAUCCAAGCCCCUAUCUCUGAGCCAAGACUGGAUCCUUUUAUGAAGGCUCAAUCUUUCAUUUUGUUAAAUGCAAUAGACACAAAAAGAUGCUUUUCACCAGCUUUUACUCCUUAUGUCCUUCUUUUCACCUUGAAGAUGUAUCCUCACGAUCAGAACUUUGAGGUAUCAGAUAUAGAAAUAAACUUGCAGGCUGACAUGAA
This is a long non-coding RNA of Notolabrus celidotus (New Zealand spotty), 816 nucleotides long. RefSeq lists it as uncharacterized. Lineage: Eukaryota; Metazoa; Chordata; Actinopteri; Labriformes; Labridae. The record is from RefSeq and is a predicted model, not a curated record. The transcript is spliced from 4 exons.